RNAcentral lists this ribosomal RNA (500 nucleotides) under uncultured bacterium. RNAcentral's name for it is "partial 16S ribosomal RNA". It matches the Rfam family "Bacterial small subunit ribosomal RNA", at positions 30 to 523 of the family's 1533-position model. The record is from RNAcentral.
AUUGAACGCUGGCGGCAUGCUUUACACAUGCAAGUCGAACGGUAACAGGGUGCUUGCACCGCUGACGAGUGGCGAACGGGUGAGUAAUGCGUCGGAACGUGCCGAGUAGUGGGGGAUAACGCAGCGAAAGUUGUGCUAAUACCGCAUACGUACUGAGGUAGAAAGUGGGGGACCUUCGGGCCUCACGCUAUUCGAGCGGCCGACGUCUGAUUAGCUAGUAGGUGAGGUAAAGGCUCACCUAGGCGACGAUCAGUAGCGGGUCUGAGAGGAUGAUCAGCCACACUGGGACUGAGACACGGCCCAGACUCCGACGGGAGGCAGCAGUGGGGAAUUUUGGACAAUGGGCGAAAGCCUGAUCCAGCCAUGCCGCGUGUCUGAAGAAGGCCUUCGGGUUGUAAGGGACUUUCGUCAGGGAGGAAAUCCCUAGUGCUAAUAACACUGGGGGAUGACAGUACCUGAAGAAUAAGCACCGGCUAACUACGUGCCAGCCGCCGCCGUAA